RNAcentral lists this long non-coding RNA (1529 nucleotides) under Vulpes vulpes (red fox). RNAcentral describes it as "lncRNA (ENSVVUG00000025081.1)". Lineage: Eukaryota; Metazoa; Chordata; Mammalia; Carnivora; Canidae. The record is from RNAcentral.
ACUAUGUGUUAACUAAAUUGAAUUUAAAUUAAAAAAACUAAAAUAAAUAAAUAAUAAAAUUUAUUUUCUAUCCUCCCUUAGUGUUGUAAGAAAAAUCAGAUGAAUAUUCCAUGCAGGGAAUGGCCAUGAGAUGCCAGGUGCUUCAGAAGGCCUAUCUGGAAAACACUGAGGGUUUGUCCUGAAGGACCCUGUGGCGCCUGUAAUGAGAAUAAUGUCUGUUGUGAUGGUAGAAGAAUCCACACUGUAAGGAGUUAAGAAGCUUCCUGGAAGUCUGGCUUCAUCCAUGGAAAACAUUCAGAAUAUCAAUCACAGCAAAAUUAACCUGGGGACCUUGAAACUUCUGAAUUUAUCUACCAGAUUUGAACCAGCUCUGGUUGCCACCCAAAUCCCACUGCCUCCAAGAGCCAGCCUCAGGAUGAGCCUGAGAUGCCAGAGUGGAGUAACAGAGAGAAGUGGGCUGUUGAUGAUACCAUUCAUUGAGCAUUGCUUCAUGCCUGGAAUGUGCUCACCUCUAGAUUUCAGCUGUUAGAGAUUUUCUUCUAGUUUAAGGCAGCUUGAGUUAUGGUUUUGUUGCUUAUACCAGAGAAACAUUCUAAAUGAUACAGAGAUACAUGACUGUCAUCAAGGAAUCCAUGAUCAAAAAGGUGUAAAAAUCACUGAGCUGUUGAAAUGAGUGGUAAUCGUAAGAGCUAGCACACAUACAACAUUUUCUAGACGACCAUCGCCAGAACCAUCAACGAAGUAGAGACGCAGAUCCUGACGAGAGAUGACAAGGGCAUCACCCAGGAGCAGAUGAACGAGUUUAGGGCNAAAAAAAAUCACUGAGCUGUUGAAAUGAGUGGUAAUCGUAAGAGCUAGCACACAUACAACAUUUUCUAGACACUAUGCACUCUUUUUAGCACUCUAUGUAAUUUCAUUUUUUAAAACCUGUACUCAGUGAGAUUGGUAUCAUCAUCAUCAUAUCCAUUUUACAGAAAUAGAAGCUUACUCAUGAGAGCUAAGUAAGUUGGCUAAGGUCACUCAGCUAGUGAACCCAAGUGGCCUGGUUUCAGGGUCUGGGCACAUAAUUGCUCUACUGUACCGCACCUUGGUAAAGAGCAUGGACCUUCUAGGUAAACAACCUUUCUUCCAACCUGGGGUUUGUGUAAAGAUUGGACACCACAGGAGCCAUAGUAUUAGUCCCCGGCAAGAUUCUGGAAGACAGCUAUUCUGUAUUGCCAAGUGAAUUGGCAGAUAUACAACUCUGAUAGUCGGUAGUCCAGGGAGGAUGGCAAAAUGGUUAAGAUCAGGAAUUGUUAUUCAGAUAACAUGAGUUGAAUCCUGGCUUUGCUGCUUACUGGCUUUGUGAUCUAAUCUGCAGGAGCCUCAUUUUCCUCAACUAUAGAAUGUAGCUGGCAAGGUUUCAUAAGGAUUAAACAAGAUGGUGUGCAGAAUAAGGUCUUCUUACUGAAAGACCACAAUUUAGAAUGGAUGGCCUCUGGCCUUUGUAUGCUGGUGUGGCAGGGGAGGCAUGGUGACUGACUUGGAAA